AAAUCUAUGAUUGGGGCUGGGGUGGGGUCAGGGAUUGGCUGCAAAGGGGCAUGAGGGAUCUUUCUGGUGCAGUGGAAGUUCUAUAUUUUGCUUGUGGUCCUGGCUACAUGGAUGUAAAGUCUGGUGUCUCUGCACUGAUACUUUGCACCUCUGAGCGUCAGUUUCCCUGUUUGUCAAACUAGAAGGCCAUUGGAUUAGAUGAUGUCUAGAAUUUCUUCUGGCUCAGAAAUGUCUCCUGUCAUGAAAACCUACCACAUGUACCAUGCAGAGAGCAUCAGUGCAGAAAGCAAGCUGAAGGAGGCUGAGAAGCAGGAGGAGAAGCAGUUCAAUAAGUCAGGAGACCUCAGCAUGAACCUGCUCCGGCACGAGGACCGGCCCCAGCGCCGCAGCUCUGUGAAGAAGAUUGAGAAGAUGAAGGAGAAGAGGCAGGCUAAGUACUCUGAGAACAAGCUGAAAUGCACAAAGGCCCGGAAUGACUACUUGCUCAAUCUGGCAGCCACCAACGCAGCUAUAAGCAAAUACUACAUCCAUGACGUCUCCGAUCUGAUCGAU
Molecule: small RNA, 552 nt
Filed under: Pongo abelii (Sumatran orangutan)
Lineage: Eukaryota; Metazoa; Chordata; Mammalia; Primates; Hominidae
Description: processed transcript
Source: RNAcentral